Branchiostoma floridae (Florida lancelet) is the source of this 481-nucleotide long non-coding RNA. RefSeq lists it as uncharacterized. The transcript has 2 exons. NCBI's taxonomy places the organism in Eukaryota, Metazoa, Chordata, Leptocardii, Amphioxiformes, Branchiostomatidae. The record is from RefSeq and is a predicted model, not a curated record.
AGGCUUUUGGUACAAAGGCGUUUAGCACCGUCUGCACAACACAGAGCGCUUGUGACGCAGCUAAGAUGGGGAACCCCCAAUUGUGCAAGACCUCCGGUGACUCCUUCACCUGUGUCUACUGCUGCACCACUGACGGCUGUGUGCCCGGAGCUGCAUCCGCCGCUCGCGUCAGCAUCGUCACCAUGGCAACCGCCGCCAUGGCCGUCCUCCUGAAGAACGCCGCGGGGUUCUAGCAGCACGUUGCCAUGACGACGAAAGACGCUUGACGUCAUUUCCGCUAAAAGCAAUGCAUUUAAGUCGCUUCGUGUCACUCUGACAGAUGAUUCUGCUGAGACAAUAGAAUUUUGUUUCUUUCUUUUUAAUUGAAACAAUGGAGAUACGUAGCAAAUCGAAUUUUCUUCUUUCUUUCUGAAAUAUUUUGAUUGAAACAAUGGAUGAUACGUCUGGGGUCUGCUUGUGGUGAAAUAAACUUGGUAAAAAC